Long non-coding RNA from Astatotilapia calliptera (eastern happy), 1267 nucleotides. NCBI's taxonomy places the organism in Eukaryota, Metazoa, Chordata, Actinopteri, Cichliformes, Cichlidae. The record is from Ensembl.
GCCACUUGACAUUGGGAGUUAUUUAUGAAAAAGGAAUUUAUUUCUAUUUGUCUGUUUUUCUCUACACCUGUGUGCAGAGAGAGAGAAAGGGAUGGAGAAUCGUGCAUACUGGUGGGGUUCACACUGUCAUUGCCAAUGGACAGUAUUUGCACAUUUGAGAAGUCCAGAGAGUUCCUCCAUCACACUGGAUUGUUCUGCAGUUUCAUUAAUCCAUACCUGCUCCCUCUUCCCCACCUCCUAUGUUUUCUCGUUCUCACCUCUUUGACCCUCAUCCUUCCUUCUCGGCUCCCCCUGCACAUGUUUCUCCACCCACAGCCAAUCAUAAUAUAACUCUGGUAGCAUCUGAAAAUCUGCCUAUAGCAGGAUCCAGGACUUUAAAAAGUGCCAUUUUGACUUGUCAUUUCCCCUUGUUUAGCUGUAGGCACAUAUCCUCCCACACACUCAAAGCAAAGUGGCUUCGUUUGCAACUGUCAUCAUUGCAGCAGUUUUUUAAACUAUGUUUAACUACUUUUUCUGUGUCCUUGUCAAGAAGAUGAAACUGGUACUUUUGUGACAUAGGGAAUUUCAGCAUAUUUACAGUUAAAAGGGCAGGAUUCCCUUUUUUCCUUUUGUUUCUUCCAAUGCUAAACAUGCAACAUUACAAGAUUUAAAAUACUUCCACUGAUGGUAAAAAUGAUCAAUUACUAAUGCUAAAAAUGAAAGAUGUAUAGUUUAAAACCUGUCUUCAAUGAAAAUAAAUGGUUCAGCAUCGUAGUAGGCAUGUUGCAAUGCUUAUGCUUUCUAUUCAACUCUAAACACAAAACCUGGCCAAAAUUCACUGGAAUUGUAUUAGUUUUGCUGGUAUUUGAUAAUGAAUGGAACUAUUCAGAGGACAUUAAAAGUGAUGUAUUCUUAGAGGGGCUUCAAUGUGUUUGACAGAUUGAAUGCCAAGCUAGACUCCAAUUAUUGAAACAUUUCUCUCAAAACCUCAAAAGAAAAAAAAAAAUACAGCAUCUUAUAACCAAGAAUGUCUUUUUACCAUUCUGUCCAGUAGAUACUGAGAUAUGUCAAGGAAUAAGUAAAAAUGUAUACCGUAAUACUCACCUUUGAAAUAAUUCCAUAAAAACAUACUUCUUGUACAAGACUUUCUGAAGGUUCAGUCAGUUUGAAUAUACAACAUACUGCUCAACGAGAUGUUAGAGCUCUGUGCAAAGGUAUAAUUUCAGCCAGGUAAGUUUCAGGUCAUUUUUCUUACAGAAACCCUUUUAAAUAUAUUCUGACAUGGCAG